GGGAUUGCCCUAGUAACGGCGAGUGAAGCGGCAACAGCUCAAAUUUGAAAUCUGGCUCUUUUAGAGUCCGAGUUGUAAUUUGCAGAGGGCGCUUUGGCUUUGGCAGCGGUCCAAGUUCCUUGGAACAGGACGUCACAGAGGGUGAGAAUCCCGUACGUGGUCGCUGGCUAUUGCCGUGUAAAGCCCCUUCGACGAGUCGAGUUGUUUGGGAAUGCAGCUCUAAAUGGGAGGUACAUUUCUUCUAAAGCUAAAUAUUGGCCAGAGACCGAUAGCGCACAAGUAGAGUGAUCGAAAGAUGAAAAGCACUUUGGAAAGAGAGUCAAACAGCACGUGAAAUUGUUGAAAGGGAAGCGCUUGCAGCCAGACUUGCUUGCAGUUGCUCAUCCGGGCUUUUGCCCGGUGCACUCUUCUGCAGGCAGGCCAGCAUCAGUUUGGGCGGUAAGAUAAAGGUCUCUGUCACGUACCUCUCUUCGGGGAGGCCUUAUAGGGGAGACGACAUAUUACCAGCCUGGACUGAGGUCCGCGCAUCUGCUAGGAUGCUGGCGUAAUGGCUGUAAGCGGCCCGUCUUGAAACACGGACCAAGGAGUCUAACAUCUAUGCGAGUGUUUGGGUGUCAAGCCCGAGCGCGUAAUGAAAGUGAACGGAGGUAGGAACCCGCAAGGGUGCACUAUCGACCGAUCCUGAUGUCUUCGGAAGGAUUUGAGUAAGAGCAUGGCUGUUGGGACCCGAAAGAUGGUGAACUAUGCUUGAAUAGGGUGAAGCCAGAGGAAACUCUGGUGGAGGCUCGCAGCGGUUCUGACGUGCAAAUCGAUCGUCAAAUUUGGGCAUAGGGGCG
Molecule: ribosomal RNA, 836 nt
Filed under: Alternaria sp. CBS 303.71
Lineage: Eukaryota; Fungi; Ascomycota; Dothideomycetes; Pleosporales; Pleosporaceae
Description: eukaryotic LSU rRNA
Rfam family: Eukaryotic large subunit ribosomal RNA
Source: RNAcentral